GGUCCCAUGGUGUAAGAGGCAGCAAUCAGGACUUUGAAUCCUGCAAUCUGAGUUCAAGUCUCAGUGGGACCU
Molecule: transfer RNA, 72 nt
Filed under: Pelodiscus sinensis (Chinese soft-shelled turtle)
Lineage: Eukaryota; Metazoa; Chordata; Testudines; Trionychidae
Rfam family: tRNA
About the family: Transfer RNA (tRNA) molecules are approximately 80 nucleotides in length. Their secondary structure includes four short double-helical elements and three loops (D, anti-codon, and T loops).
Source: Rfam by way of RNAcentral